Cyprinus carpio (common carp) is the source of this 640-nucleotide long non-coding RNA. RefSeq lists it as uncharacterized. Lineage: Eukaryota; Metazoa; Chordata; Actinopteri; Cypriniformes; Cyprinidae. The record is from RefSeq and is a predicted model, not a curated record. The transcript has 3 exons.
UUAUAAAAAAGCAAAAUCGCUUUAAUCUCAUUUAUUUCUGUGUGUUAAAGAAAGCAAAAAAAGCAGUUAUGUUCUGCGUUUCAACGAAAGUGAAUGGAUGUGUGUGAACUGUUCAACCAGUGCUGUCACUGUCACUCUACAACCACAUGAGGUCAUUUACGAUAUCCCUGUUCAAGAUGAUGAUGGAGAUAUUGAUCCCUCAGAAGUAUUAGACUACAUGAACAAAAUGGAGUCUAAGAUGGAAGAGAUGGAAAAAAACAAUAUAAGCAAAGCAGGGAUUGUCAUGGGGGAUGUUAUUGGUGUUGUUCAUGUGCAAGCCAAAAGUACAGAAACCAAAGACAUAUGCUACUCUUCAGAUGAGGACAUUAUAAACGAUGUUGAUUGUCAAAGUAACCUGAAGGAAGGUUUUCCCUGGUCUGUAAUGAUUUCCAGUGAGGCCUUUAAUAAAUCACGACAGGGAAAUAAUGGAAGAGCAUUUCUUGGAAUUCUAAAAUUCUACAAUAUGACAAAUGAGGUACACACAGUUACAAAUUACAAAUCUGUCAUAUGAUUUCAGAAGAGUUAGACUUUAAUUGACUGUCAUAUCCACUACUGUCAAGAUGAUUCUUUAGUUUUUUUUCUUUUUCUUAAUCCUCUUUAC